This 372-nucleotide ribosomal RNA is filed under the name uncultured bacterium. Its description in RNAcentral is "bacterial SSU rRNA". It matches the Rfam family "Bacterial small subunit ribosomal RNA", at positions 29 to 392 of the family's 1533-position model. The record is from RNAcentral.
AGCGAACGCUGGCGGUAUGCUUAACACAUGCAAGUCGAGCGCGAAAGUGACUUCGGUCAUAAGUAGAGCGGCGGACGGGUGAGUAACACGUGGAUAAUCUGCCUUUAGGACUGGGAUAACCCUGGGAAACUAGGGCUAAUACCGGAUAAGACCACAGGUUCCAUGGAACCAGGGGUAAAAGGCGGCCUUCGGGCUGUCGCCGAAAGAUGAGUCCGCGUCCCAUCAGGUAGUUGGUGAGGAACGGCUCACCAAGCCGAAGACGGGUAGCCGACCUUAGCGGGUGAUCGGCCACACGGGGACUGAGACACGGCCCCGACUCCUACGGGAGGCAGCAGUGGGGAUCUUGGGCAAUGGGCGCAAGCCUGACCCAGC